RNAcentral lists this ribosomal RNA (421 nucleotides) under uncultured bacterium. RNAcentral describes it as "bacterial SSU rRNA". It matches the Rfam family "Bacterial small subunit ribosomal RNA", at positions 354 to 774 of the family's 1533-position model. The record is from RNAcentral.
GUAAGGAAUAUUGCUCAAUGGGAGAAAUCCUGAAGCAGCAACGCCGCGUGGAGGAUGAAGGGUCUAUGACUUGUAAACUCCUGUAAAGAAGGAAAAAAUUCCCAUUUGAUGGGAGAUGAUGGUACUUCUGGAGUAAGCCCCGGCUAACUACGUGCCAGCAGCCGCGGUAAUACGUAGGGGGCAAGCGUUGUCCGGAUUUACUGGGUGUAAAGGGUGCCCAGGCGGAUUUGUAAGUCAGAGGUGAAAUCUUACAGCUUAACUGUGAAACUGCCUUUGAUACUGCAAGCCUAGAGUAUGGAAGAGAGUGAUGGAAUAUCUGGUGUAGCAGUGAAAUGCGUAGAUAUCAGAUAGAACACCAAUGGCGAAGGCAGUCACUUGGUCCAUUACUGACGCUAAAGCACGAAAGCGUGGGUAGCAAACA